Molecule: ribosomal RNA, 459 nt
Filed under: uncultured bacterium
Lineage: Bacteria
Description: partial 16S ribosomal RNA
Rfam family: Bacterial small subunit ribosomal RNA
Source: RNAcentral
CCUACGGGAGGCAGCAGUGAGGAAUAUUGGUCAAUGGACGGGAGCCUGAACCAGCCAAGCCGCGUGAGGGAAGAAGGUACAGCGUAUCGUAAACCUCUUUUGUCAGAGAACAAAGGCGGGGACUAGUCCCCGGAUGAGGGUACCUGAAGAAAAAGCAUCGGCUAACUCCGUGCCAGCAGCCGCGGUAAUACGGAGGAUGCGAGCGUUAUCCGGAUUUAUUGGGUUUAAAGGGUGCGCAGGCGGCCGGUUAAGUCAGCGGUAAAAUCCCGGGGCUCAACCCCGGCAAGCCGUUGAAACUGGCGGGCUGGAGAUGGAGAGAAGUACGCGGAAUGCGCGGUGUAGCGGUGAAAUGCUUAGAUAUCGCGCAGAACCCCGAUUGCGAAGGCAGCGUACCGGCUCCAUACUGACGCUGAGGCACGAAAGCGUGGGUAGCGAACAGGAUUAGAUACCCUUGUAGUC